CUCCUGGGAAAGGGAGGAGCAUCGGGAGGCAGUGGGCGUCUCAGGGCUCAGGGCCAAGCCAGGAUCUCAGUAUUGAACUAUGAAAUGUGGCAACUGUGGUGAGAU
This 105-nucleotide long non-coding RNA is filed under the name Cricetulus griseus (Chinese hamster). RNAcentral describes it as "lncRNA (ENSCGRG00000024414.1)". The record is from RNAcentral. Lineage: Eukaryota; Metazoa; Chordata; Mammalia; Rodentia; Cricetidae.